RNAcentral lists this long non-coding RNA (7374 nucleotides) under Amborella trichopoda. RNAcentral describes it as "long non-coding RNA (ATRI_LNC001870)". The record is from RNAcentral. Lineage: Eukaryota; Viridiplantae; Streptophyta; Magnoliopsida; Amborellales; Amborellaceae.
UCCCAAUUUCCAAUAACAUGGCUAAAGGGCCUUAAAGUAUUUAGACUACAGAAAUUCAUGCCCUCAAAUUCCCCAACCAUCUGUCCCAUCGUUAUCAACUCCUUAUCUAUAAUCUAGAACUCUCUUUCCAUGUAUUCCAUGACCCAACUUCAUUUUUAAAGUCCUUGAACUCUUAAUUUGUAAUUAUGAUGUGGUUUUUGAGUUCAAUUGAGCCAUUGCUCUGAACCAAUAUUCAGGUCCAUAUUCAUAUAACAUUUAGUAAUAGUUACAAGAGCUUUGAACCAAGGAAAAUUAAAUCAUGCUUAUCCAAAUCAACCAAAAAGUCGAGAGAGAGAGAGAGAGAGAGAGCUAAGCAGCGGGAUAUCACAACAAUCCCCACUUACAAGAGACAAUGAUUGUUCCCACUAUCUAAUAAACUAGAACAUUUUUUACGGUUACGCAUGUCUAAAUUGUUGAUGAUAAAAUAAGUGUCAACAAGGCACUCCUGUUUCUUAACAAUGAACAGAGAUAGAAAUCAAUGUGAUCCUAUAGAAACAAUUCUAUACUCUAGAGAGAGAGAGAGAAUCUGAUGCAGCCAUGCCCCUUCGUUACUGGGCCAAAGAAAGGUCGCAGAACCCAAGAGGGAAAAAAAGGCCAAUGACGUAAUAAGGAAAAAUUAAUAGGGUUAUUUAUUAGGAUUAUUUUAAUUAUUCUUUUGUUUAGGGAGUGCACAAGGAUAAUUAGCAAGGUGGCUUUAGAGUUUAUAUUGUGUUUAUCUUAUAUUGAUUGGGUUAAUUUGAGGGAUAUAAUUAAGAUAAGGGUAAAUUUAGAAGAGAGUUUAUCUUUAUUAACAAUAACCAACUUGGGAGGUUUUUUUUGGGUAAAACAAGAGAGGAAAAACGUGGCUAUCUAGAAGCCCAUGAAUAUGAGAGAGAGAAAAUAGGGAUAGGUGUAGAGAGAAGUUUUUUAUUAGUUAUCUUAUUUUAGUCUAUUUAAAGGGACAUCUCCUAUCCUUGUAAAGCAGUCUAUGAAUUGAAUAAAAAUUGAUCUCUUGAAAGAGAUAAUUUUGGGGGUGGAUUCCCUUGCAGACUUUUGAGAGAGAGGGUAUUUUUCUCUUAACCUUCCUUCUUUUUAUUGUCAAUUUUCUAGUUUUAUUCUCUCCCUGCAUCAAUUGAAAUCAGAGCGAGGUUUCGAUGGCUUCACAGGAGACACCCCUUGAUGGAUUAAAAGUAUUGACUGGAUUAGUUCAAGGCCUAGCAGAGAGAGUAGACCAAUUCAUGCAUGUAGCCGCGAAAGUCGAUGAGCUUGCACAAAGGUUCGCUCAGCUUCAGGAUGGAAGGAAUCCAGAUACUGGCGUUGGAACUCAAGGCAACAGAGAUGAAAGAGGUAUGCACCAACCUCGGGUGGCCCCGACUAAUAACGAAUUCAAUGAACGAAUUCUUCGGUUGUUGGAAAGAGAAAGAGAACCUGGAAUAAAAAUUGAUAUUCCAAACUUCCAUGGUCGAUUGCAUGCAGAUGAUUUUCUUGAUUGGCUAAGUAAAGUAGAGAAAGUGUUUGAGUACAAAGAUAUUGCAGAUCACAAAAAAGUAAAAUUAGUAGCCAUAAAAUUUUCUGGUCAUGCAUUGGUUUGGUGGGAUGAUUUGCAACAGGAUCGUCUUGGACAAGGCAAGGAAAAGAUUAAUUCGUGGGAAAAGAUGAAGACGAAGAUGCGCCGAAAAUUUUUACCAGUAAAUUAUGCCCGAACUUUGUACCGAAUGUGUCAAAACCUCAAGCAAGGUGAAAAGUCGGUAAGUGACUAUACUGAAGAGUUUUAUAUUUUGACAUCUAGGGUAAAUUUACAAGAGUAUGAAGAUCAAAAAAUAAGUCGUUACUUGAAUGGGCUAAAUCAAGGCAUUCAGAUUGAAUUGGUUCAAAGAUGUCUAUAAGAUGUCUGAUGCCUAUACUUUAACCCUCAAAGCAGAAGAAAUAGUCAAUCUUGGCCUUGGGAGAAAUAGCUCAGUGACAAGAGGCUCUACUUCAAUACAGGGGUAGCAAGCUUUAACCUUUAGAAGACCACCUAUAGGGCGCGGAAACCAAACCUCUCAGAAUUUUCCAACUAGGCCAAACCCUAAUAUGGGGAGAGGUGGUGUUGGGAGAUUGUUGGGAGUACCUAAAACACUUCAUGAUAAUACACAAAUAGUGUGUUUCAAGUGCUAACAGCCUGGACAUAUGGCAUUUAAUUGCCCCUCACGUCAACCCCUUGUCAAAGUUAAUUUGGCUGAAAAAAAUUAUGAAGAAGAAGUUGAUGAAGGAUACACCUAUGAAGGCCAAGGUGAUAUUGGGACGAGCCAGUCUUAUGAAGGGACUUGGCCUUUCAAAGGUGAAGUUGAGGAUUUGUAUGGAGAUGAAGAGGGUGAAGUAUUAGUUGUCCAGCGAACUAUGUUAUCAACCCCAAUACCUAACGAGGAUGAGAAGUGGCUGCGACAUAAUAUUUUUCGAACAAUCUACACAUCAGGAGGCAAGUUAUGUACAGUACUAAUUAAUGGUGGGAGCAGUGAAAACAUUGUGUCUAAAAAGAUGGUGGCUAAACUUCAAUUGAAGGAACAUAAGCACCCACGCCCAUAUCACAUCCAGUGGUUCAAGAAAGGAAGUGAGGUACCAGUUCUUACUCGUUUUUUAAUCUCUUUUUCCGUUGGUGCUAAUUAUAAAGAUAAAGAAGUGUGGUGUGAUGUAGCACCGAUGGAUGUAUGCCACAUAUUACUUGGUAGACCAUGGCUUUAUGAUCAUGAUAUGGUGCAUAAAACUAGGUCAAACACUUAUUCUUUUGUUAAGGAUGGUAUUAAUAUAAUACUCCACCCUUUGAAGCAACUUCCUACACCCAAAUCCACUAAAGAGGAGGGUUCAAAGUUGCUUAAUGUUCAAAAAUUAAAAAGGGACAACAAGGAUAUGGAUAUGAUUUAUGUAUUGGUUGCAAAAGAAAAUUCUGCACCGACUGCAAUUCUUAAGUCUCUUGAACCUCUACUUGAUAAGUAUAAAGAUUUGAUGCUUGAAGAAUUACCUGAUGGUCCUCCUCCAAUGAGAAAUAUUCAGCAUCACAUUGACUUGGUGCCCGAAUCUACCGUACCAAAUUUGGCCCAUUAUCGAAUGAGCCCCAUGGAAUAUGAGGGGUUGCACAAACAAGUUGUUGCUUUGCUUAAGAAGGGAUUGCUUCGAGAAAGAAUGUCACCAUGUGUCGUCCCUGCAUUACUGACUCCAAAAAAAGAUGGGUCAUAGAGGAUGUGUGUGGACAGUCGGGCAAUCCACAAAAUCACAAUCAAGUACCGAUUUCCCAUACCUAGACUCGAUGAUAUGUUAGAUAUGCUUAAUGGAGCCAAGAUUUUCUCAAAGAUUGAUUUAAGGAGUGGGUACCAUCAAAUUCGGAUUCGUCCUGCAAAUGAAUGGAAAACCGCAUUCAAAACUCGAGAUAAACUAUAUGAGUGGCUUGUGAUGCCAUUCGGCCUUUCUAAUGCACCAAGUACAUUCAUGUGCCUAAUGACUGAGGUACUUCGUCCUUUUAUUGGCAAAUUUGUUGUGGUUUACUUUGAUGAUAUCUUGGUUUUUAGAGCUAACCCACAUGAUCAUCUUAACCACUUGGAACAAGUUUUUGAUGUGCUAAGGAAUAAAUCGCUUAUUGUGAAUUUGAAAAAAUGCUCAUUUAUGACAAACAAUGUCAUCUUUCUGGGGUAUGUUGUUUCACCUGGGGAAUUAAGGUAGAUCAAGAAAAAGUGAAAGCCAUAGCUGAGUGGCCGGCCCCAAAGUCACUCACUGAGGUACGUUCUUUUCAUGGCCUGACGACCUUUUAUUGUCGAUUUAUCAGAAAUUUUAGCACUCUAAUAGCAUCAAUGACUGAUUUUAUGAGGCCAAGAAAGUUUUCAUGGAGUCCCGCUGCUAAAAAGAGCUUCACUCUAAUUAAACAAAAGAUGAUGCAAGCACCAGUACUUGCCUUACCAUAUUUUUCUAAGGUGUUUGAGAUUGAAACUGAUGCAUCAAAUGUUGGCAUAGGGGCAGUUCUAAGUCAAGAGGGACGACCAUUGGCCUUCUUUAGUGAGAAAUUGAAUGAUGCACGUAAGAAGUAUUCGGUUUAUGACCUCGAGUUUUAUGCAGUGCUGCAAGCCUUACGCUACUGGAGGCACUACCUGAUUCAUAGAUAGUUUGUUCUAUACUCAGAUAAUGAAGCACUCCGGUAUUUGAGUUCCCAUAAAAAGUUGAAUGCGCGACAUGCUAAGUGGAUGGCCUUCCUUCAAGAAUACACAUUCCUAUUAAAGCACAAGGCUGGAACCCAAAAUAAGGCAGCUGAUGCUUUAAGUAGAAGGGUAGCGUUUCUUAGAACUUUGUCUAUGGAAGUGUUGGGGUUUGAAGUGAUAAAAUAUCAAUAUAAAGUUGAUCCAAUUUUCAGCAAGGUCCUUGAAAGGUGUGUUGAUGGGCGAGACCCUAUGGUGAGUAUCUCGUGCAUGAUGUUUGUUUAUUUAAAGGUGUGAGGUUAUGUAUACCUAAUUGCUCCCUAACGGAGAAGAUAAUCAUGGAGCUUCAUGGUGGGGGCUUGGGUGGACACUUUGAGAAUGACAAAACUAUGGCUAUGGUUGGAGAAAAAUAUUUUUGGCCACGUAUGCAACGAGAUGUUGAUCGAUUUGUGACCCGAUGUCAAACUUGCCAAGUAUCUAAAGGUCACACACAAAAUACAGGUCUUUAUACUCCUCUUCCUGUUCCAGAUGCCCCAUGGGUUGAUAUUUUUAUAGACUUUGUACUUGGACUUCCACGUACCACACGAGGUAUGGACUCUAUUUUUUGUUGUUGUUGAUCGAUUUUUCAAUAUGGCACAUUUUAUUCCUUGUAGAAGAACUAUGGAUGCUACACAUAUCAUGAAUCUCUUUUUCAAAGAUAUUGUAAGGCUACAUGGUGUUCCUAAGUCUAUUACAUCUGAUCGGGAUACAAAAUUUUUAAGUCAUUUUUUGCACACUUUAUGAAAGUGAAUGGGAACCAAACUUCAAUUUUCUAGUGCAUAACAUCCUCAAACAGAUGGGCAGACCGAAGUAGUGAAUAGGAGCCUUGGUAACCUCUUGAGGAGUAUUGUUGGUGAUUACAUAUCUCAGUAGGACCUCACUUUGCCUCAGGCUGAGUUUGCUUACAACAGUUCAAUAAAUCGAUCUACAGGAAAAUCACCAUUUGCUAUUGUUAAUGGGCGGAUGCCUAAUCAUGUGUUGGACCUAGUGCCAUUACCCAUGCGAGGCAAGAUAAGUGAUGAUACCAAUGCUUUUGCUGAGCAUAUUCAAGAUUUGCAAGCGCAAAUCAAGAAGAAAAUUGAGAAGAGCAAUGCAAAGUAUCAAAAAGCCUCAAAUGAGCAUAGAAGAGAGAAGAUUUUCAAGGAGGGUGACUUAGUAAUGGCGUAUUUGCGAAAUGAAAGGUUUCCGUUGGGAACCUAUAAUAAACUCAAAUCCAAGAAAGUGGGUCCUUGCCACAUCUUGAAGCAAUAUGGGAACAAUGCAUAUAAGGUAGAAUUACCAAAGGCAUUGGAUAUCUCCCCAAUAUAUAAUGUUGUUGACUUAAUUGAGUUUCAUGGAGACCCUCUAGAAGUCGCAGAAGAUGUAGUAGCUAUGAGGAAAAAAUUACAAAGGAAGAAAGCGGAUGAAAUUGAGCAAUUUUUGAAGAUUGAAAGCUUUCAAACUCGAAAGGAUUCCUAUCGCUAAUUUCUAGUCAAAUGGAAGGGCAGGCCAUACUCUGAUAGCACGUGGAUUUCUGAGCCAGAGUUCAAAAGAGUGGAUCCAAACUUAUAUCGCAUAUAUACUGAAGUUAACUCGCCGGAGUCGAGUUCCUUCACCUUGGGGGGGAAUUAUGCAGCCAUGCCCCUUCGUGAAUGGGCCAAAGAAGGGUCGCAGAACCCAAGAGGGAAAGAAAGGACAAUGACGUAAUAAGGAAAAAUUAAUAAGGUUAUUUAUUAGGAUUAUUUUAAUUAUUCUUUUGUUUAGGGAGUGCACAAGGAUAAUUAGCAAGGCGACUUUAGAGUUUAUAUUGUGUUUAUCUUAUAUCGAUUGGAUUAGUUUGAGGGAUAUAAUUAGGAUAAUGGUAAAUUUAGAAGAGUUUAUCUUUAUUAACAAUAACCACCUUGGGAGGUUUUUUUUGGGUAAAACAUGAGAGAGAAAACGUGGCUAUCUAGAAGCCAAUGAAUAUGAGAGAGAGAAAAUAAGGUUAGGUGUAGAGAGAAGUUUUUUAUUAGUUAUCUUAUUUUAGUCUAUUUAAAGGGACAUCUCCUAUCCUUGUAAAGCAGUCUAUGAAUUGAAUAAAAAUUGAUCUCUUGAAAGAGAUUAUUUUGGGAGUGGAUUCCCUUGCAGACCUUUGAGAGAGAGGGUAUUUUGCUCUUAACCUUCCUUCUUUUUAUUGUCAAUUUUCUGGUUUUAUUCUCUCCCAACAUCAGAAUCUUACCUCACUGCUUGAACGCAGCUGCUCGACAAGGAUAAAGGUAGUGAAAGAAAUGUUUUUUAUCGGUUUGCCAUUAUUUUUCCAUCAAAUAUUAAGAAGUGAGUUUGGAAAAUUACAGCACAAUAUUUAUGUCCUGACUCCUAAUAUAGAAUGCCAUAAGGUGUCAUCACAAUCCAAUCUAUAAAUUGGACUGUGAUGGAAAUAGUGUUGGAAAUUAGAAACAAUUAUGUUUGUUUUAUUUUUUUUUAAAUGUUCACUAUAUUUACUGUAUUAUCAAGUACUAAAUUCUUUAGACUCUUGAAAGUUGUCUAUCCAGUUGAUUCUAUCAUGUUGGUAAGUAUCUAGAUUAAAAAGAGUAACAAGAACCCUAAUAACAUAUCAAGCCUGUUGGACAACUGGAAGGUGGAAUUUCCUUGGAAACUAGAAUUUCUAGAAUCUGGAAACUGGAAUGUUGAUACAUGGAACUGGAAAAUACUGUGUUUGAUAACCUAUCUGGAAUUCUAAGGGAAUCUAGAGACCUGCGUUUAAUUAGAUCUGGAAGUUUCGGAAUUUGGAGAUCUUGAAAUAAGCAUGUUUUAAUCAGUCGUUGAAGUUUUCAUUAAUGAGAGAAGGAUAUUUGUUCAAUGGAAGGAUUUUUAAAUCAUUGCUCAUCAACAAUAGGUUCUAACAAAAUGGCCGGUUCAGAUCAUAAAGAAAAAUCCCAUCUUUAGUAAGUUCACAACAUAGACUCCUAAAUAGAAAACUGAUCUCAUUGGAGGUGAAGACGUUCAAGAAAGUUCAUAAAAGUUCUAGUACCAGAAAACUUGUUAGUGUACAUGCAAUAGCCUAAAGUAACAUCAGUGUUUGCAACUUACCCUUUUUUGACAUACAUAAUAUCCUCAUCAUAUGUUUAGCUUACACGAGGGAAAUGGACCUAUCACACAUAUCAUAUGAAAAGAAAGAUGCAUCUUCCACAUUCGAAAG